This 73-nucleotide transfer RNA is filed under the name Stegodyphus dumicola. RNAcentral's name for it is "tRNA-Thr". It matches the Rfam family "tRNA". From Rfam's summary of the family: Transfer RNA (tRNA) molecules are approximately 80 nucleotides in length. Their secondary structure includes four short double-helical elements and three loops (D, anti-codon, and T loops). Lineage: Eukaryota; Metazoa; Arthropoda; Arachnida; Araneae; Eresidae. The record is from RNAcentral.
GCCUUCGUGGUGUAGUGGUCAGCACGCUGGGCUGGUAAUCCAGAGGUCCGCGGUUCGAUUCCCGGCGAAGGCG